Molecule: ribosomal RNA, 429 nt
Filed under: Bacteroidota bacterium
Lineage: Bacteria; Pseudomonadati; Bacteroidota
Also listed under: 1 other name
Description: Bacteroidetes bacterium partial 16S ribosomal RNA
Rfam family: Bacterial small subunit ribosomal RNA
Source: RNAcentral
UAGGGAAUCUUCGGCAAUGGGGGGAACCCUGACCGAGCAACGCCGCGUGAGUGAAGAAGGUUUUCGGAUCGUAAAGCUCUGUUGUUAAGGAAGAACGAGUGUGAGAAUGGAAAGUUCAUGCUUUGACGGUACUUAACCAGAAAGGGACGGCUAACUACGUGCCAGCAGCCGCGGUAAUACGUAGGUCCCGAGCGUUGUCCGGAUUUAUUGGGCGUAAAGCGAGCGCAGGCGGUUAGAAAAGUCUGAAGUGAAAGGCAGUGGCUCAACCAUUGUAGGCUUUGGAAACUGUUUAACUUGAGUGCAGAAGGGGAGAGUGGAAUUCCAUGUGUAGCGGUGAAAUGCGUAGAUAUAUGGAGGAACACCGGUGGCGAAAGCGGCUCUCUGGUCUGUAACUGACGCUGAGGCUCGAAAGCGUGGGGAGCGAACAGG